This 346-nucleotide ribosomal RNA is filed under the name uncultured bacterium. Its description in RNAcentral is "partial 16S ribosomal RNA". It matches the Rfam family "Bacterial small subunit ribosomal RNA", at positions 338 to 701 of the family's 1533-position model. The record is from RNAcentral.
CCUACGGGCGGCAGCAGUAGGGAAUAUUGCUCAAUGGGGGAAACCCUGAAGCAGCAACGCCGCGUGGAGGAUGAAGGUUUUCGGAUUGUAAACUCCUUUUGUUAGAGAAGUUAAUUACGGUAUCUAACGAAUAAGCACCGGCUAAACUCGUGCCAGCAGCCGGGGUUAUAAGGAGGGUGCAGGCGUUACUCGGAAUCACUGGGCGUAAAGAGCGCGUAGGCGGGAUAGCAAGUCAGAUGUGAAAUCCUAUGGCUUAAACAUAGAACUGCAUUUGAAACUGUUAUUCUAGAGUAUGAGAGGGGGAGGGGGAAUUCUGGGUGUAGGGGUAAAAACCGUAGAAAUCAAG